Molecule: ribosomal RNA, 254 nt
Filed under: uncultured bacterium
Lineage: Bacteria
Description: partial 16S ribosomal RNA
Rfam family: Bacterial small subunit ribosomal RNA
Source: RNAcentral
CACGUAGGGUGCGAGCGUUGUCCGGAAUUAUUGGGCGUAAAGAGCUCGUAGGCGGUGUGUCGCGUCGGCCGUGAAAACCUGCAGCUUAACUGUGGGCGUGCGGUCGAUACGGGCAUCACUGGAGUUCGGCAGGGGAGACUGGAAUUCCUGGUGUAGCGGUGAAAUGCGCAGAUAUCAGGAGGAACACCGGUGGCGAAGGCGGGUCUCUGGGCAAUAACUGACGCUGAGGAGCGAAAGCGUGGGGAGCGAACAGG